This is a long non-coding RNA of Salvelinus namaycush (lake trout), 2120 nucleotides long. RefSeq lists it as uncharacterized. The record is from RefSeq and is a predicted model, not a curated record. The transcript is spliced from 3 exons. NCBI's taxonomy places the organism in Eukaryota, Metazoa, Chordata, Actinopteri, Salmoniformes, Salmonidae.
AAGUCGCAACAAUCAAAUACAAACAGAGAACACAUGUCAUUGAUUGAACACAACCACUCAAAAUUGAUUUAACCUGUUUCAAAUGAUGCGACACAACCAAUAUAAGCCAGUUCAGAGAGCAAACAGGUUGUUGAAGGUGGGAAGGAGAAAGUCUGAGAAUGGAUAGAGGAAACAAUGUGAGAGGACGAGUGCGUAUGCGAGGUGGGCGACGAAGAGGAUGAGGAGGGCAAGAAAGAGGAAGAGGAGGACGAAGAGGAAGACAAAGAGUGGAAAUAUCUGAUGAAAUUCGAGCAACAGUUAUAGACCAUGUUCUUGUCCAUGGACUGACAGUGAGGGAAGCAGGACUUAGACUGCAACCCAAUUUGAGCCGAUUUUCUGUGUCCACCAUAGUAAGGACAUUCAGAGAAGAGACCAGAAUUGCAAGGCUGCCACAUGCAGGUGGAAGGACAGCUAUAUUUACUCGGGAGCAAGAGGCCGUUAUAGUUGGCCUGGUCCUUCAAGAUAAUGCAAUACGACUCAGAGAAAUCCAGGAACGAGUGAUACAACACAACACACACUUCCAGGGAAUCGACAGUGUGAGCAUUUCCACAAUUGACCGUGUCCUCCAUCGUAACAGGAUGCGAAUGAAACAAGUAUACAGAGUACCUUUUGAGCACAACUCACCAAGGGUGAAAGAACAUCGAGCUCAGUAUGUGCAAACAAUAUUUGACUUGGAAUCCUUGGACAGACCCCAUGAGUUCAUCUUUGUCGAUGAAGCAGGCUUCAAUCUAACAAAGAGGAGAAGGAGAGGCCGAAACAUGAUUGGACAGCGGGCCAAUGUUGUAGUCCCUGGUCAACGAGGUGGCAAUGUCACAAUCUGCUGCUAUCAGCAACCAUGGUGUUCUACAUCACCAUGUUACACUCGGGCCAUAUAACAUCCAGCACCUUCUAAGAUUUAUUGCCAAUCUAAGAGAUAUUUUAUUUGAGCAGCAGGUUCAAGAGCAGCAGGGUCAAGAGCUAAAUGAGAAUCCCAUUCCCACCUAUGUGAUAGUGUGGGACAAUGUCAGUUUCCACCGAGCUGCUCAGGUAAGGGAAUGGUUUAACAUCAAUGGGCAGUUUAUGAACUUGUACCUCCCUCCAUACUCGCCUUUCCUGAAUCCGAUUGAGGAGUUUUUCUCCUCUUGGAGAUGGAAAGUGUAUGAUAGACAACCCUACACAGAGUAAAUCUGCUGCAAGCCAUGGAUUUAGCCUGUGGUGAUAUAGGUGAGAAAUCAUGUCAUGGCUGGAUACGGCACACAAGAGGCUUCUUCCCCCGUUGCCUCAGGAGGGACAAUAUUGCUUGUGAUGUCAACGAAGUGCUCUGGCCUGACCCAGCCCAAAGACAAGUAGAAGCACAUUGAUCACAUGUUUACUCCUUUGAUUUUUGUCCCUUUUAGUAUUGUAUACUGUAGUACAGUGCAUUGUAGGCUGUAUACUGUACAAUGGACAAAUUGUAUGGCCCUGAACAUUGUGCUUUCCAUUUAUUAACAGUACUGACUGCUCAAUAGAUUUUGACUGAUUGCAGGUUCAUAUCAACAAAGAACAAGAAUUACAGUAUCACAGAGACAAAGGACAAGUUUGUGAGAUGCAGGGUACAGUACUGUAAAAAUAGGGGUACAAGGAGGAGGAAGAACAAAAAACCAAAGAGCAAAGCAGAGUAGUAAUUUCUGAUAAAUUUUGAGCUACUAUGAUAGAACAGGUUUUCGUUCAUCAAAAGACAAUGACGGAAAAAUAUGGGUAUUUUUUUAGAUUAAAAAUGUACUUCUCCCUGAGAAUUGUAUGUUUUGAACAAUGUGUUUUCUAUUUUUCGGUGUAUUGUUUACUGACUGCUUGAGAGUGUAUAUCAUUUUGAUCACUUUGUUUAUGAUUUGAGAGCAGUGUUUGAUUUUGAACACAGGUAAAACUGUUUUGAGGCGAAUGUUUCAUUUUACGAGAUGAGUCAGAGGUUAUGUAAAUAGUGCUUGAAGAUGAGGUUUUGUGUUUAAUGUUUUCAGGAAAUGGAGCAAGGUUUCAGAAAUUGUGUUUUAGCAAUUGAGAAAAACUGUAAUGUAAAUACUAUUGAAAAUCACUUCUGUAAUAAAUCAAUGUUUUUUAUGACUUGA